Molecule: unclassified non-coding RNA, 234 nt
Filed under: Hevea brasiliensis (rubber tree)
Lineage: Eukaryota; Viridiplantae; Streptophyta; Magnoliopsida; Malpighiales; Euphorbiaceae
Source: RNAcentral
GGCUGAUGCUGGUUCCGAUCUAUCUCGGGCUCUGCCGUGCCGCGGAGCCGGACAACGGACACAUCGCGACAAGCGUUUUGAUCGGCGCCAACCUCGGCACGGCCGUGCUGGUCGCCUUUGUCCACUCGGCUGCGAUGAUUGCGGCCGGCGGAUUGUCGGCAUGGCUGGUCUAUCGCUAUCUGGGGCUCAAAUUCGUGUCGCGGAGCUGGUUCAAUCUCGAUGCGGCAUGGGCCA